GCGGCACGCUUAACACAUGCAAGUCGAACGCAGUAGCAAUACUGAGUGGCAGACGGGUGAGUAUAAUGUGGGAAUCUGCCUUUUGGUUCGGAAUAACUCGGGGAAACCUGAGCUAAUACCGGAUAAGCCCUUACGGGGAAAGAUUUAUCGCCAAAAGAUGAGCCCGCACUUGAUUAGCUUGUUGGUGAGGUAAAAGCUCACCAAGGCAACAAUCAAUAGCUGUUCUUAGAGGAAGACCAGCCACAUUGGGACUGAGACACGGCCCAGACUCCUACGGGAGGCAGCAGUGGGGAAUCUUGCACAAUGGGGGAAACCCUGAUGCAGCGAUGCCGCGUGAGUGAAGAAGGCCUUUGGGUUGUAAAACUCUUUCGUCGGGGAAGAAAAUGACUGUACCCGAAUAAGAAGGUCCGGC
Molecule: ribosomal RNA, 412 nt
Filed under: uncultured bacterium
Lineage: Bacteria
Description: bacterial SSU rRNA
Rfam family: Bacterial small subunit ribosomal RNA
Source: RNAcentral